UACGUAUGGAGCAAGCGUUAUCCGGAUUUACUGGGUGUAAUGGGAGCGUAGACGGCGAGGCAAGUCUGAAGUGGAAUCCCCCGGCUCAACCGGGGAACUGCUUUGGAAACUGUCUGGCUGGAGUGCAGGAGAGGUAAGCGGAAUUCCUAGUGUAGCGGUGAAAUGCGUAGAUAUUAGGAGGAACACCGGUGGCGAAGGCGGCUACUGGACUGUAACUGACGUUGAGGCCCGAAAGCGUGGGGAGCAAACA
This 250-nucleotide ribosomal RNA is filed under the name uncultured prokaryote. RNAcentral describes it as "partial 16S ribosomal RNA". It matches the Rfam family "Bacterial small subunit ribosomal RNA", at positions 524 to 774 of the family's 1533-position model. The record is from RNAcentral.